UAAGGAAUAUUGGGCAAUGGAGGCAACUCUGACCCAGCCAUGCCGCGUGAAGGAUGAAGGCCCUAUGGGUUGUAAACUUCUUUUGUAUGGGAAUAAACGCAGUUACGUGUAACUGUUUGAAUGUACCAUAAGAAUAAGCACCGGCUAACUCCGUGCCAGCAGCCGCGGUAAUACGGAGGGUGCAAGCGUUAUCCGGAUUUAUUGGGUUUAAAGGGAGCGUAGGCGGGAUUGUAAGUCAGUGGUGAAAGCCCGUAGCUCAACUACGGAACUGCCAUUGAUACUGCAGACCUAGAGUACACUUGAAGUGGGCGGAAUGUGUCAUGUAGCGGUGAAAUGCUUAGAUAUGACACAGAACACCAAUUGCGAAGGCAGCUCACUAAAUUGUAACUGACGCUGAGGC
This 400-nucleotide ribosomal RNA is filed under the name uncultured bacterium. RNAcentral describes it as "bacterial SSU rRNA". It matches the Rfam family "Bacterial small subunit ribosomal RNA", at positions 355 to 752 of the family's 1533-position model. The record is from RNAcentral.